AAAUUCUAGGUUUUUUAAAAAAUGAGUCCAAUGAUAUAUAUAUUUUUUCAGUUGUACUGACAAAUAAUUCCUUUCAAUUAAACUUACUACAGUGAACAGUCUUGAUUACAUACUCAUCACAAAAAACAAUGUUAACUUAGCUAUUAAAGCCAGCCACAAUGCAAGGAUUGCCUUAUAUGGACACAUCUUGAACUUCAAUGUAUACUAGAUUAGAUUAUCAUCGGAGGAUGGGGAAACACUAUGUCAGCAAUAAAAAGAAAUAAUACCAAACCAGAUGUAGCAGAAGCAGAUACACUAGAGAUAUAUUAAUUGAAUCCUGAUGAGAUGUGUGAUAUUUUUAUAGUAAUACAUCAGAAUCGCUGUCACAAACUUUAGGUGGCUUGUACCAAUCGUACAUCAUUCUGGGACAGUAGGUUCUCAAAGGUGGACAAUGUUUUUUUGGCUUCAUCUCGACUUCGUGCCAAGGAUGUGCGUCGUGUGACCCAACAAUACCAAACCAAAACCAUGGAAAUAAAAAAGAAUGCCAUCCAUGUUUCGAUGAAGAAUGCCAUCCAUGUUCCGAUGAAGAAUGCCACUCAUGUUCACUUUUUCCGCUUGGACAACAAUAGUAUCGAUGAUGGCCCAUUUUGCACCAGUACUUGCAAGACUUUACAUGAGCUUUUGUUAGGAUGAUGAACAACAGCAGAAGAUAUAGCGAAUUUCUACGCAUGCUGCAAUAAUUGUUAAAAGAGAUGAGUGAUAUAAUGCUGAA
Long non-coding RNA from Nylanderia fulva, 751 nucleotides. RefSeq lists it as uncharacterized. The record is from RefSeq and is a predicted model, not a curated record. NCBI's taxonomy places the organism in Eukaryota, Metazoa, Arthropoda, Insecta, Hymenoptera, Formicidae.